UACCAGCACCCCGAGUUGUCGGGACGAUUAUUGGGCCUAAAGCAUCCGUAGCCUGUUCUGCAAGUCUUCCGUUAAAUCCACCUGCUUAACAGAUGGGCUGCGGAGGAUACUAUGGAGCUAGGAGGCGGGAGAGGCAAGCGGUACUUAGUGGGUAGGGGUAAAAUCCGUUGAUCCAUUGAAGACCACCAGUGGCGAAGGCGGCUUGCCAGAACGCACUCGACGGUGAGGGAUGAAAGCUGGGGGAGCAAACCGG
Molecule: ribosomal RNA, 253 nt
Filed under: uncultured bacterium
Lineage: Bacteria
Description: partial 16S ribosomal RNA
Rfam family: Archaeal small subunit ribosomal RNA
Source: RNAcentral